Molecule: non-coding RNA, 149 nt
Filed under: Homo sapiens (human)
Lineage: Eukaryota; Metazoa; Chordata; Mammalia; Primates; Hominidae
Source: Rfam by way of RNAcentral
GCCAGGUGUGGUGGCGGGCGCCUGUAGUCCCAGCUACUCGGGAGGCUGAGGCGGGAGGUUUGCUUGAGCCCAGGAGGCUGGAGGUUGCAGUGAGCCCAGAUUCUUCCACUGCAUUCCAGCCUGGGUGACAGAGUGAGACCCUGUCUUAA